RNAcentral lists this ribosomal RNA (253 nucleotides) under uncultured bacterium. RNAcentral describes it as "partial 16S ribosomal RNA". It matches the Rfam family "Bacterial small subunit ribosomal RNA", at positions 524 to 776 of the family's 1533-position model. The record is from RNAcentral.
GACAGAGGGUGCAAACGUUGUUCGGAUUUACUGGGCUUAAAGAGUCCGUAGGCGGCAUGUUAGGUGAGGUGUGAAAUCCCCCGGCUCAACCGAGGAAUUGCGCUUCAAACCGGCGUGCUUGAGGAAGAUAGAGGUGGGCGGAACUGAUGGUGGAGCGGUGAAAUGCGUUGAUAUCAUCAGGAACACCGGAGGCGAAAGCGGCCCACUGGGUCUUUUCUGACGCUGAGGGACGAAAGCUAGGGGAGCGAACGGG